UGGGGAAUUUUGGACAAUGGGCGAAAGCCUGAUCCAGCCAUGCCGCGUGUCUGAGGAAGGCCUUCGAGUUGUAAAGGACUUUUGUCGGGGAGGAAAUCCCCAGCGUUAAUACCGCUGGGGGAUGACAGUACCUGAAGAAUAAGCACCGGCUAACUACGUGCCAGCAGCCGCGGUAAUACGUAGGGUGCAAGCGUUAAUCGGAAUUACUGGGCGUAAAGCGUGCGCAGGCGGUUUGAUAAGCCAGAUGUGAAAUCCCCGAGCUCAACUUGGGAACUGCGUUUGGAACUGUCAGACUAGAGUGCGUCAGAGGGGGGUGGAAUUCCGCGUGUAGCAGUGAAAUGCGUAGAGAUGCGGAGGAACACCGAUGGCGAAGGCAGCCCCCUGGGAUGACACUGACGCUCAUGCACGAAAGCGUGGGGAGCAAACAGG
Molecule: ribosomal RNA, 429 nt
Filed under: uncultured bacterium
Lineage: Bacteria
Description: bacterial SSU rRNA
Rfam family: Bacterial small subunit ribosomal RNA
Source: RNAcentral